AUCCAUCUGACGAGUCCCAAAUAGGACGAAUGCACGUCCUGGAU
Non-coding RNA from Schistosoma rodhaini, 44 nucleotides. The record is from Rfam. Lineage: Eukaryota; Metazoa; Platyhelminthes; Trematoda; Strigeidida; Schistosomatidae.